CAGGACGUGGGGUGGUGGUGGUGGCAUAGCACAAAAUGGCUGCUACAGGGCUUGGUAUAACAUAAAAUGGCUGCCAUGGGGAAUGCCACAGGACAUAUAAUUAAAGAGACAACAAGCCCUGGCAACUUUAUUGUUACCAUGGGAAGUCAACUAUAUUCCUGCUGCUCCCAUUUGAGGAGAUUACACCACAUUGAUUACACACAGAGAGAGAGAUGCUGUUGCUGUCUAAGAACAACACUACCAGGAAAUAUAAACAAGUACCUUUGUCUCCAGAUUGCCAGAAAGGGCAGGGAGCAGCAUGUCCAAGCCCACUGCAAUGAAGCUUCCUGCCCAACAGCUGAUGAGUGGGGGAUGAGAGCUCCUGUGUGCCAUUUUGGAGUCCAUAAAUUCUUUUUUUUUUAAGCCUUUAAAAUCUCUUUAGGGUCUAUGGAGGGUCUUCUCAUGAGCCACAAGGACUUUCCAGCUCUCUCCCAUUAUUUCCAAGUUUGAAUUGAUCUACUGGCACCACACAUAUAUGCAGUCACUCGAGCUGCUAAUGGAGUUUCAUCUUUGUUUUGGAGCUUCCUCGGGAUCUCCCCUGCUAACCCUAUUCUUUGUUGGAGUCCUCCACCCUCUGGACCCCACGGUA
Molecule: long non-coding RNA, 628 nt
Organism: Podarcis raffonei (Aeolian wall lizard)
Lineage: Eukaryota; Metazoa; Chordata; Lepidosauria; Squamata; Lacertidae
Exons: 3
Source: RefSeq, a predicted model, not a curated record